UUGCUGUAACCGGCCCUGAAACCUCUGCAGGCUGGAAUACCAACAUAAAUAGCAGAGACAAAAUUCCACCUGUGCUUAUGGGGCCCGAAAGACUGAUGGACCUCACUGUGGUGGCCACUACCCUAUGCUUCUUCCACACCUUCUUGGCCUGCCGACUGCACGUUUCUUUCAGGAAUCUCUUAGCAAGGCUCGGCGCUGGUUCUCCUCAGCUUCCGCCAGAUGCCUACAUUACCUGCCUUCAGGUAAAACCCCUUCUGCAAAGCUUCCCAGCAAAUGGAGGCUGUUAUCGGAGUGACACACAGCUGCAUCCAGGCAGCCACGCCAGUGACACAUGGCUGCAUCUUUCACAUGAGUGCAUGGUGGAGCAAAAAAUCCUCAUUCCCUGCCGUCCUUAUCUCCGUACAAUUUGACCGAAGAGCCCGGGGGAGCCCCUGAAAAGCAGGUCCAGACAACUAACCAGCGUUUUCAAACGCCCUCCUCCCAGGAGGCAAAACAGAGAGAGAGAGUAGAGGGAACAGACGAGCUGGGAGGGAAUGCAAGAGAGACGGUUUUGCCAGCAGCCCCCCCUCUGGUGAGUUGGCAGCUCGCCUCCCUCCACAAUGCCUCCCACCCCUGCCUAAACCCCUCCUCCUUUUCAGCCCAUCGUUUCUGAGAUCAUCGCUACGGAAAUAUUUUGCCGUUCAUGCUGUAGGAGGCCAGACAGCACACCCCUGCCCCUGUUGCAGAGAUGGUCUGCAUCCUCCCCUCUUCUCCCCCACCCCCUUCCACAAGACAGAUGGUAUAUUCCUCCGGUACAGCGUUCAGACUUGAGAGAUCCAUUCUUCGGCGAAGAGCUGCNGCUGGCAACCUUGCCGUGUGCGUGUAGCGGACGGAGAAAGAGAGAGACAAGGGGAACAGUUACCUAGGCUGGGCACAAAGGAUCUGGGGCUUGGCAUCAGACCUUCCCCCCCUCCCACACACACCUUUGGCGUGCCAUGGCUCUUUUCGGCAGCAGAGAGGGAUGCUGGACCUACCUAGAGAUGACUCGAGAACCUAAGCUAAGCCAUUCCAAGCCUGCUCAGAAGAGGCAGCAUGAUGGAAGCCUGUACCUGUCUUGUGAGUACCAGAAGAUCCCNCCCCUCAUCAAUCGCAUCCCUGUCAAGACCAGGCAAAGGCACUUAGAGUAUGGAAACAAAACCAGCUUGGGUUCCCCUCAAGGGUUAAGAAGCAAUAGUAGUGCCACCACAGUCCGCACAAAGCUACGAGCAGAGGAGGUACACUCCAUCAAAGGGGAGCUAAGCCAGAUCAAAGCCCAGGUGGACAGUUUGCUGGAGAGUCUAGACCGGAUGGAUCAGCAACGGGAACAUUCAACAGCGAGUGCUUCUACAGGUUCCGUGGAAAGCAAGAAAAAAGCGCCCACUACUGCUGAAGCCUCGUACCUGGCAGGGGAUUCUGUGUGGAGGAAGGCACGCCCAGCAAAAGAUGGACGAGCCGCUCUGCAGGAUUUUGACAGUGCCGAGGAGAGCACAGAUACUGAAGAGGCGGUGAGCGGCUGGGUGGAUUUGGGGGUUCUCUNAAGACUGCAGUGA
Long non-coding RNA from Salvator merianae (Argentine black and white tegu), 1568 nucleotides. NCBI's taxonomy places the organism in Eukaryota, Metazoa, Chordata, Lepidosauria, Squamata, Teiidae. The record is from Ensembl.